This 497-nucleotide ribosomal RNA is filed under the name uncultured bacterium. Its description in RNAcentral is "partial 16S ribosomal RNA". It matches the Rfam family "Bacterial small subunit ribosomal RNA", at positions 28 to 507 of the family's 1533-position model. The record is from RNAcentral.
GAUGAACGCUGGCGGCGUGCCUAAUACAUGCAAGUCGAGCGAACGGACGAGAAGCUUGCUUCUCUGAUGUUAGAGGCGGACGGGUGAGUAACACGUGGAUAACCUACCUAUAAGACUGGGAUAACUUAGGGAAACCGUAGCUAAUACCGGCUAAUAUUUUGAACCGCACGGAUCAAAAGUGACAGACGGUCUUGCUGUCACUUAUAGAUGGAUCCGCGCUGCAUUAGCUAGUUGGUAAGGUAACGGCUUACCAAGGCAACGAUGCAUAGCCGACCUGAGAGGGUGAUCGGCCACACUGGAACUGAGACACGGUCCAGACUCCUACGGGAGGCAGCAGUAGGGAAUCUUCCGCAAUGGGCGAAAGCCUGACGGGGCAACGCCGCGUGAGUGAUGAAGGUCUUCGGAUCGUAAAACUCUGUUAGUAGGGAAGAACAUAUGUGUAAGUAACUGUGCACAUCUUGACGUUACCUAAUCAGAAAGCCACGGCUAACUACGUG